GGGGGAAUAGCUCAGUGGUAGAGCAUGUGCUUAGCAUGCACAAGGUCCUGAGUUCAAUCCCCAGUACCUCCA
Molecule: transfer RNA, 72 nt
Filed under: Camelus bactrianus (Bactrian camel)
Lineage: Eukaryota; Metazoa; Chordata; Mammalia; Artiodactyla; Camelidae
Also listed under: 3 other names
Rfam family: tRNA
About the family: Transfer RNA (tRNA) molecules are approximately 80 nucleotides in length.
Source: Rfam by way of RNAcentral